RNAcentral lists this signal recognition particle RNA (290 nucleotides) under Aotus nancymaae (Ma's night monkey). RNAcentral describes it as "Metazoan signal recognition particle RNA (ENSANAG00000005883.1)". The stretch from base 55 to 283 matches the Rfam family "Metazoan signal recognition particle RNA", at positions 53 to 290 of the family's 299-position model. Rfam says of the family: The signal recognition particle (SRP) is a universally conserved ribonucleoprotein. It is involved in the co-translational targeting of proteins to membranes. Lineage: Eukaryota; Metazoa; Chordata; Mammalia; Primates; Aotidae. The record is from RNAcentral.
UCAUAGAGAGCAAAUAACCUCAAAUUAUUUCAUGAUCUAAGGUGGCUGAAGUGCGAGGAUCGUUUGAGCCCAGGAGUUCUGGGCUGUAGUGCACUACGUGGGUGUCCACUAAGUUCGGCAUCAAUAUGGUGACCUCCCAGGAGCGGGGACCACCAGGUUGCCUAAGGAGGGGUGAACCAGCCCAAGUAGGAAACGGACCAGGUCAAAACUCCCGUGCUGAUCAGUAGUGGGAUCGCGCCUGUGAACAGCCACUGUACUCCAGCCUGGGCAACACAGUGAGACCCAUAUUU